RNAcentral lists this ribosomal RNA (265 nucleotides) under uncultured bacterium. RNAcentral's name for it is "partial 16S ribosomal RNA". It matches the Rfam family "Bacterial small subunit ribosomal RNA", at positions 1227 to 1500 of the family's 1533-position model. The record is from RNAcentral.
ACAAUGGCAGGUACAGAGGGAUGCUACCGGGCGACCGGAUGCGGAUCUCGAAAGCCUGUCCCAGUUCGGACUGGAGUCUGCAACCCGACUCCACGAGGUUGGAUUCGCUAGUAAUCGCGCAUCAGCCAUGGCGCGGUGAAUACAUUCCCGGGCCUUGUACACACCGCCCGUCAAGCCAUGGGAGCCGGGGGCGCCUGAAGUCCGGGACCGCGAGGACCGGCCUAGGGCGAAACUGGUAACUGGGGCUAAGUCGUAACAAGGUAAC